GACGAACGCUGGCGGCGUGCCUAACACAUGCAAGUCGAGCGAGUGAAUCUCCUUCGGGAGUGAAACUAGCGGCGGACGGGUGAGUAACACGUGGGCAACCUGCCUCAUAGAGGGGAAUAGCCUUUCGAAAGGAAGAUUAAUACCGCAUAAGAUUGUAGCUUCGCAUGAAGUAGCAAUUAAAGGAGUAAUCCGCUAUGAGAUGGGCCCGCGGCGCGUUAGCUAGUUGGUGAGGUAACGGCUCACCAAGGCGACGAUGCGUAGCCGACCUGAGAGGGUGAUCGGCCACAUUGGGACUGAGACACGGCCCAGACUCCUACGGGAGGCAGCAGUGGGGAAUAUUGCACAAUGGGGGAAACCCUGAUGCAGCAACGCCGCGUGAGUGAUGACGGCCUUCGGGUUGUAAAACUCUGUCUUCAGGGACGAUAAUGACGGUACCUGAGGAGGAAGCCACGGCUAACUACGUGCCAGCCGCCGCGGUAA
RNAcentral lists this ribosomal RNA (480 nucleotides) under uncultured bacterium. Its description in RNAcentral is "partial 16S ribosomal RNA". It matches the Rfam family "Bacterial small subunit ribosomal RNA", at positions 28 to 523 of the family's 1533-position model. The record is from RNAcentral.